This 469-nucleotide ribosomal RNA is filed under the name uncultured bacterium. Its description in RNAcentral is "partial 16S ribosomal RNA". It matches the Rfam family "Bacterial small subunit ribosomal RNA", at positions 28 to 508 of the family's 1533-position model. The record is from RNAcentral.
GACGAACGCUGGCGGCGUGCUUAACACAUGCGAGUCGAACGGAAAGGCCCUGCUUUUGUGGGGUGCUCGAGUGGCGAACGGGUGAGUAACACGUGAGUAACCUGCCCUUGACUUUGGGAUAACUUCAGGAAACUGGGGCUAAUACCGGAUAGGAGCUCCUGCUGCAUGGUGGGGGUUGGAAAGUUUCGGCGGUUGGGGAUGGACUCGCGGCUUAUCAGCUUGUUGGUGGGGUAGUGGCUUACCAAGGCUUUGACGGGUAGCCGGCCUGAGAGGGUGACCGGCCACAUUGGGACUGAGAUACGGCCCAGACUCCUACGGGAGGCAGCAGUGGGGAAUAUUGCACAAUGGGCGGAAGCCGGAUGCAGCAACGCCGCGUGCGGGAUGACGGCCUUCGGGUUGUAAACCGCUUUCGCCUGUGACGAAGCGUGAGUGACGGUAAUGGGUAAAGAAGCACCGGCUAACUACGUGC